Ricinus communis (castor bean) is the source of this 107-nucleotide non-coding RNA. Lineage: Eukaryota; Viridiplantae; Streptophyta; Magnoliopsida; Malpighiales; Euphorbiaceae. The record is from Rfam.
AGUCUAUGGUGCGGACAACACCAGAGUAGAUCUUUGUACCUCUCCCAAGCAUCGUACAUGCUCUCGUCAUCGAACUGCACAAAAGAAGAUAUGUAAUUUCUCAAUUU